Molecule: long non-coding RNA, 1014 nt
Organism: Capra hircus (goat)
Lineage: Eukaryota; Metazoa; Chordata; Mammalia; Artiodactyla; Bovidae
Exons: 3
Source: RefSeq, a predicted model, not a curated record
GAGCAUUUUGUUGUUUCUUGGACAUUCUUCUUACUACUCUGAGGCAGCGCAAUUCAACAGGCUUCUCUUUCUUGUUGUUAAAGUACUUGUUCUAUCUCCUGCCUCUUUUACCAACUUUCACAUCGACCGAGAACGCAAGCGUUUACCUGGGCUCCAUCCUUGGACGGCGAACUGGUCGCGCAGGCUUCCGGCCUCCUCCUCCCUGGGGUUUGGCUCCAAGGCUCCCGCAAAAUCUCGAAAUCACCCCAGAUCGGCGCGGCCACUGAGGGAAGCAGCCCGGCUCUGAACAAGCCCAGGCAAGCCCAGGCAGAGCCCGCUUCGCGGUCCUUCCUCCUGCGCGAACCACCCGGCCCCGGGGCGAGAGACGCGUCUCUCGGGUCCCAGAUCCGUGGAGUCGUCUCUCUCCAGAGGACCGGGCGCCGGCCCUCUCCUCCACCUGAGAAGGAAAAGGGUGCAGAGCCACCAAAAUGCCUUGACCUGGGCGGCUGACAGAUGAAGGAGUACAUUUGGGAGACUCCAGACUCCGUCCGUCUCCAUGGUCUUUCCCAGAUAUCCUGAGUGGAGCAUUCAAGGAUAUGGUCCGAGAAGCUUCCUCUGCCAUCACCCAAGAGGAUGCCGGAGUUGAGAAUCCCUUCUUACCCCCCAGCUGGAAAGGCAGCCUCACUUUUCAGACCGGUGUCCACGAUUCAGAGCAGGAGGUCCAAAGCCAGGGCCCAAACACAGCAUCCCUGGGCUCGUCUGAAAGCCUUCGCCCUCCCAGCCCUAACGAGGUGCCACACAGUCUUGUUCUUCUAUGGAGGUUUCCGCAAAUCGUGCCCCACACUUGGUGGCUGCUCCGCACAGAAGCAGGUGAAGAUGAUCCAUCCAAGGAUGCACGAAGACAGUCGCUGGUACCAGAGCCCGGCUUGUCAUCCUCAGCCGGGAAGGAAGGCUGCCUCCGGCUCCAGCCCUCAACUCCGAGGAAGUCGAGUCGUGCAGAAAAGGUUGUAUAAAUAAAGCCCGAGACUCACUCAC